GCACAGGCCUGCUAGCUCGCUCUGCCUUUUGUCUCCGUCUCUCCCACAAAUGUCACACAGCACACCACAACCUUUGAGGCCGCUCUUCCUUCUCUCACUUUUGUCACACACACACACGCAUGCACCUUUUGGCUUUUGGCUUUUGCUUUUUUUUCUCCCCUCGAUUUCUCAAGCUCCCUCUCACUCCCCCCGCAGUAUCUCAUGGAGCCUGGCAGCCUGCAUUCUCCCUGGCCUCUUCUCCUUCUUUCUUUCCUUUGGAUCACGGCUGCUAGCGAGUCGAAGAGGUUCUGAAAAAUGAAGGACACACAUGAGAUCGUGGCUGGUACAUGGAGCACAAGGCCGAAAUUAAUGAUGAACAGCCAAUGGGAUCGAUGCUGGGAGUAAAAGGAGGAAGGAAGGCUGCGGCUACAGAUGGAGAAAAAAGCUCAUGUGACGUCCGGACUCGGGACUGCGAGCUUCACCUAUAGAAGCAAAUUGCGUCAGUUCCGUUCGAGGUAUGGGCUGUGAUUCGGCUGUGUGACCUUGGUCACAGUGGCACCGUACGCUGAUUUCUUGCUUGAUUGGUUGGGGUCCGCGCUCCCUGUCAGUUUGUGUGGUACAUGCGAUACUGUAGUUUCUGGGAGCUUUCUGAUCCGGGUUUCCUUCGCAUUUGACGAGUUUUAGUUCAGUCCUAAGCAGGAAAACUGCAUGUUUCGCCUGGGGCUGUAGGGUUUCAUGCGUUGACCCUCAUCAGCUGAUUCGUCUUAAUUUAAGUGUACGAUAGAGAGCUUAUUACUUUGGUAGACCGCGGGCUAAUCCACCUUAAACUUCUGUAUGAAAUCAUAGUAGUAUGUUUCGAUCAUUAAUAUAUUAUGACAGGUCGUUUUUCCA
Triticum aestivum (bread wheat) is the source of this 870-nucleotide long non-coding RNA. RefSeq lists it as uncharacterized. The transcript has 2 exons. Lineage: Eukaryota; Viridiplantae; Streptophyta; Magnoliopsida; Poales; Poaceae. The record is from RefSeq and is a predicted model, not a curated record.